CAUUAUUGAAUAAACACUUGAUGGGUUGUCGCUGGUCUUUCGGGACAUGUGCACGCCUGUCUUGACUUCUAUUCAUCCACCUGUGAACCUUUUGUAGUCUUGAACUUUUUAAGGGAUUGUCGAGGAAGCGGCUGCUCGGUCUCUACCAAGAUCGGACUUGAGGAUUGCUUUAGAGCUUUCUUCUGUUGAAGUCGUGAAAUCGUGCCUUUGAGAAGUUUUGAGGCUAUGUCUUAUAUCAUAAACCAUGUAGUAUGUUGCCAGAAUGUAUUCAAUGGGCCUUUGUGCCUAUAAAACCUUAUACAACUUUCAGCAACGGAUCUCUUGGCUCUCGCAUCGAUGAAGAACGCAGCGAAAUGCGAUAAGUAAUGUGAAUUGCAGAAUUCAGUGAAUCAUCGAAUCUUUGAACGCACCUUGCGCUCCUUGGAAUUCCGAGGAGCAUGCCUGUUUGAGUGUCAGUAAAUUCUCAACUCCUUCAGCUUUUUGUAGUUGAAGUGAGCUUGGAUAUGGAGGUUUUGCGGGUUCAAUCUAAUUGGAUCGGCUCCUCUGAAAUGCAUUAGCGGAACCGUUUGCGAUCCGUCACAGGUGUGAUAAUUAUCUACGCCUAGUGGGUUGCUCUCUGUCUUGUUCAGCUUCCAACCGUCCCAGUCAUGGGACAACAUCAUUACUGAACUUUUGACCUCAAAUCAGGUAGGACUACCCGCUGAACUUAA
RNAcentral lists this ribosomal RNA (710 nucleotides) under uncultured Leucocoprinus. RNAcentral describes it as "eukaryotic LSU rRNA". The stretch from base 302 to 455 matches the Rfam family "5.8S ribosomal RNA". The record is from RNAcentral. Lineage: Eukaryota; Fungi; Basidiomycota; Agaricomycetes; Agaricales; Agaricaceae.